Molecule: ribosomal RNA, 459 nt
Filed under: uncultured bacterium
Lineage: Bacteria
Description: partial 16S ribosomal RNA
Rfam family: Bacterial small subunit ribosomal RNA
Source: RNAcentral
CCUACGGGAGGCAGCAGUGAGGAAUAUUGGUCAAUGGGCGAGAGCCUGAACCAGCCAAGUCGCGUGAGGGAAGACGGUCCUAUGGAUUGUAAACCUCUUUUGCCGGGGAGCAAAAAGCGGUACGUGUACCGCAUCGAGAGUACCCGGAGAAAAAGCAUCGGCUAACUCCGGGCCAGCAGCCGCGGUAAUACGGGGGAUGCGAGCGUUAUCCGGAUUUAUUGGGUUUAAAGGGUGCGCAGGCGGCGAGUUAAGUCAGCGGUAAAAUUUCGGGGCUCAACCCCGACAAGCCGUUGAAACUGGCUUGCUUGAGUGGGCGAGACGUAUGCGGAAUGCGUGGUGUAGCGGUGAAAUGCAUAGAUAUCACGCAGAACUCCGAUUGCGAAGGCAGCAUACCGGCGCCCAACUGACGCUCAGGCACGAAAGCGUGGGUAUCGAACAGGAUUAGAUACCCGAGUAGUC